RNAcentral lists this non-coding RNA (31 nucleotides) under Mus musculus (house mouse). The record is from RNAcentral. Lineage: Eukaryota; Metazoa; Chordata; Mammalia; Rodentia; Muridae.
UGAUAUUGGACACAGUCAAACCCAGAGAAGC